AGCCUGAACGCUGGCGGCGUGGCUAAGACAUGCAAGUCGUACGGAUGUAGCAAUACAUCAGUGGCGAACGGGUGAGUAAUGUAUCGCUAACGUGCCCCCGGACUCUGGGAUAGCUAUCCGAAAGGGUAGGUAAUACCAGAUGAUAUGCACUAAUCGCAUGAUUGGUGCCUCAAAGGUCCGCCGGUCUGGGAGCGGGCGAUAUCGUAUCAGCUAGUUGGUAGGGUAACGGCCUACCAAGGCGACGACGCGUAGCCGGACUGAGAGGUUGGCCGGCCACAUUGGGACUGAGAUACUGCCCAGACUCCUACGGGGGGCUGCAGUAACGAAUCUUCCGCAAUGCACGAAAGUGUGACGGAGCGACGCCGCGUGUGGGACGAAGUCCUUCGGGAUGUAAACCACUGUCAGGGGUUAGAAAGUUCUGAUCAACCCCAGAGGAAGGCACGGCUAACUCUGUGCCAGCAGCCGCGGU
RNAcentral lists this ribosomal RNA (469 nucleotides) under uncultured bacterium. RNAcentral describes it as "SSU rRNA". It matches the Rfam family "Bacterial small subunit ribosomal RNA", at positions 26 to 521 of the family's 1533-position model. The record is from RNAcentral.